AGAAGAUGUAUUUGGUAUUAUCAUCAAUGUGAGAGUGCAUCACAGUGUGGUGUCCACAAUUCUUGUUGUAAAUGAGGAACAUUUGGCCCACCCUGGUAGUGGACCAUAGUUUUUUGUUGCUGAGGCAGAAACUUGAAUUGGAUGAGUAUGAUAUGACUCUGUUGCUUUCUCUCUAGUUUUUUCUGUAAUCACUUUCAAGUUUCUGUUUAUUCACUUUUCUUUCUUGAAAUACAUUGAAGAAGUUAAAGCCAUAGGCCGUGACAUUAUUCUAUAGCCGAGAGCAUGUGCAGUAUCAGAUUUACUUUUUCUUUCUGGUGAUUCCGAAAGAUGGUUAGUUGCAGUGUUUACACACCUCACACUUGUCUGCUGAAUUUUCAUUCCACUAUUGGCGAAUCCAAUCAAUUUGACAACUCAAUAAUUUAGCAGAAAGAUCAAAAGAUGUUCAUCAUAUGAAAUAUCAUGGACAUUAUUCAAAUUCAUAUUGAUAUUAUGAGAGACUUGGAUCCCAGAAUGGGGCCAAGUAUAGGGGAAAAGUAUCUCAGAAUUAUUUAUAGCAGCAAUGAAAUACACAGCAUCUUGGAAAUGCCAUUUUGCUGAAGGGGUGUGUGUUUUCAAUUUCCACCACUUUUAUGGACCCAUAAUUAUAAGGUCUGGUGCAGCAACUACCCACAUGUCACUUGACACUUCUAAU
Molecule: small RNA, 691 nt
Filed under: Vigna angularis var. angularis
Lineage: Eukaryota; Viridiplantae; Streptophyta; Magnoliopsida; Fabales; Fabaceae
Description: Non-protein coding transcript
Source: RNAcentral